This is a long non-coding RNA of Lotus japonicus, 1245 nucleotides long. RefSeq lists it as uncharacterized. Lineage: Eukaryota; Viridiplantae; Streptophyta; Magnoliopsida; Fabales; Fabaceae. The transcript has 6 exons. The record is from RefSeq and is a predicted model, not a curated record.
CAGCUUUGCUUCGCCCUUCCCUUAUCUCAUGGCUGGAUUUUCAAGCCUCCAUCGUUGAUCUAUCAUCUAUGACUUCGCUGCAUCUACGAUUCGUCCUUCACCUAGCCUUUUGCGUGAGAUGUACGCAUAUCUUCCCCAUUUUCUGUGGCUGUUUGAGCUACUACUAGAUUAAAAAAUCUAGCUACUCAAGGUGCUUUCCAGUUGUUUGAUUCGAAAGCUUCAAGAUCUUGCUGGAUUCUCUAUGAUUUAUUUGCUUUCCUUGGUAUCUUCAUCCUUAGGCAGCAGUAUCAAGUGAUAGAUUCAAAUGUUUGGGAAGAGAAAAAAAUUGCAUUGGGUUACCAAAUAAAUAAGAGCUCUCUAAAACUCCAAACUUUAAACUUCAAUAAGCAAGUUGAAGACCUGACAUUAAGGUUGCUUAUUGAAAACAAGUCCAAUGGGGAAUUUGGGUAUCUUGCUUACACUCUUGAUUGAAGGAGGCAUCUUUGGAGUUAAUAUAUUGAUUAUCAAGGGGCUUUCAUGUUGGAUUUAUUCUCUAUGGGUUGUGAAAGUCCAAAGCAAGCAGAGACCAAAAUGUUGUAAAAGCCUGAGCACAUGAAUAGGCGAUGAAGAAGAACUCUGCUGAUAUUGAAAUGACUUUGGGGAAAGGAAUUUUCUGAUAGAAAGCAUGUUUAGACUUGAAGUCCAGGUUUGAUGGGGUUGUUGUGUGCUUGUACUGAUCACUGACUCUCAUGUUUUAUGAAUUCAACUAACAAAAGAUGGCUUCACUUAGCCUCUUCUACUGAAUGUCCUUUAUUAAGGGAGCAACACGAAUCUGAGCUGCAUUUGUUUAGAGACCGGCAAGUGAUCCAGCCUGUUUGAGAGAUGAGGCUCAACAAUGGAUUUUGGAUUAGGCUCCUAAUGUUACUAUGGCUGAACUUUAUUUAUAUUUGGAGUAGUAGUUGUUAAAUCAAUUAGUCAAAUGUAAGUUAUUGGAGUAAUUUUAAACUGGACAUUUUCUUGGGAUCUCAUAGCUGUUACUCUUUGGGAUGGUGCUUAAGUUGUUACUCUUUGACAUGGUUAAGCUCCUGUGUUAUCCAUGUCAAUCGCAUUAGUUAUGUUUAUUAUAUAAUGUGCAUUAUUAACAUAAAAUUAUUUUGUAAAGCAAUCAAAAUGAGAGAUUAAACCUCCGUGCAUCGCACGGGUAUAAUCCUAGUAUUAACAAAUGGGUUAUCAUGAAGAUUUUAUAAAGCUGUAUAAGCUUUUGGA